Molecule: ribosomal RNA, 253 nt
Filed under: uncultured bacterium
Lineage: Bacteria
Description: partial 16S ribosomal RNA
Rfam family: Bacterial small subunit ribosomal RNA
Source: RNAcentral
GACGUAGGGGGCCAGCGUUGUUCGGAAUUACUGGGUGUAAAGGGCUCGUAGGCGGUGCGGCAAGUCGGGUGUGAAAUUUCUGGGCUCAACUCAGAGACUGCUUCCGAAACUGCUGUGCUUGAGUGUGGGAGAGGUGCGUGGAAUUUCAGGUGUAGCGGUGAAAUGCGUAGAUAUCUGCAGGAACACCCGUGGCGAAAGCGGCACGCUGGACCACUACUGACGCUGAGGAACGAAAGCUAGGGGAGCAAACAGG